CGCACAGUAAACGAUGACAACUGGCUGUCGGCGAUAUACCGAUCGGUAGCGAAGCGAAAGCGUUAAGUUGUCCACCUGGGGAGUACGACCGCAAGGUUGAAACUCAAAGGAAUUGACGGGGACCCGCACAAGCAGCGGAGCAUGUGGUUUAAUUCGAAGCAACGCGAAGAACCUUACCUGGACUUGACAUCCCCUGAAUGACUCGUAAUGGAGGAAGCCCUACGGGGCAGGGAGACAGGUGG
This 242-nucleotide ribosomal RNA is filed under the name uncultured bacterium. Its description in RNAcentral is "partial 16S ribosomal RNA". It matches the Rfam family "Bacterial small subunit ribosomal RNA", at positions 796 to 1041 of the family's 1533-position model. The record is from RNAcentral.